RNAcentral lists this ribosomal RNA (379 nucleotides) under uncultured eukaryote. RNAcentral describes it as "SSU rRNA". It matches the Rfam family "Eukaryotic small subunit ribosomal RNA", at positions 618 to 1008 of the family's 1831-position model. The record is from RNAcentral.
GUUAAAAAGCUCGUAGUUGGAUUUCUGGGAGGGUGCCAAUGUCCGUCAACGUGCGUGUGCAGCGGCGCCCUUCCAUCCUUCUGUUAACGCCUCUGGGCAUUUAUUUGCUGGUGGCGGGCUCAGAUAUUUUACCUUGAGAAAAUUAGAGUGUUUCAGGCAGGCUAGGCCGGAAUACAUUAGCAUGGAAUAAUAGAAUAGGACUAUGGUCUCUUUGUUGGUUUGAGGGACUAUGGUAAUGAUUAAUAGGGAUAGUUGGGGGCAUUAGUAUUUAAUUGUCAGAGGUGGAAUUCUCAGAUUUGUUAAGGACUAACUUAUGCGAAAGCAUUUGCCAAGGAUGUUUUCAUUAAUCAAGAACGAAAGUUAGGGGAUCUAAGACGAU